CAGUCGCCGCGGUAAAACGAAGGGGGCUAGCGUUGCUCGGAAUGACUGGGCGUAAAGGGCGCGUAGGCGGAUUGUUUAGUUAGGCGUGAAAUUCCUGGGCUUAACCUGGGGACUGCGCUUAAUACAGGCAGUCUAGAGUGAGGAAGAGGGUUGUGGAAUUCCCAGUGUAGAGGUGAAAUUCGUAGAUAUUGGGAAGAACACCGGUGGCGAAGGCGGCGACCUGGUCCAUUACUGACGCUGAGGCGCGAAAGCGUGGGGAGCAAACAGGAUUAGAUACCCCAGUAGUCCCUGUCUCUUAUAC
RNAcentral lists this ribosomal RNA (301 nucleotides) under uncultured bacterium. Its description in RNAcentral is "partial 16S ribosomal RNA". It matches the Rfam family "Bacterial small subunit ribosomal RNA", at positions 509 to 807 of the family's 1533-position model. The record is from RNAcentral.